UUGACCUCAAUAGGUAGA
Molecule: ribosomal RNA, 18 nt
Filed under: Melanoleuca grammopodia
Lineage: Eukaryota; Fungi; Basidiomycota; Agaricomycetes; Agaricales; Pluteaceae
Description: partial 28S ribosomal RNA
Source: RNAcentral